UUUGUAUAAUGGGUCAGCGACUUAUAUUCUGUAGCAAGGUUAACCGUAUAGGGGAGCCGGAGGGAAACCGAGUCUUAACCGGGCGUUAAGUUGCAGGGUAUAGACCCGAAACCCGGUGAUCUAGCCAUGGGCAGGUUGAAGGUUGGGUAACACUAACUGGAGGACCGAACCGACUAAUGUUGAAAAAUUAGCGGAUGACCUGUGGCUGGGGGUGAAAGGCCAAUCAAACCGGGAGAUAGCUGGUUCUCCCCGAAAGCUAUUUAGGUAGCGCCUCGUGAAUUCAUCUCCGGGGGUAGAGCACUGUUUCGGCUAGGGGGCCAUCCCGGCUUACCAACCCGAUGCAAACUGCGAAUACCGGAGAAUGUUAUCACGGGAGACACACGGCGGGUGCUAACGUCCGUCGUGAAGAGGGAAACAACCCAGACCGCCAGCUAAGGUCCCAAAGUCAUGGUUAAGUGGGAAACGAUGUGGGAAGGCCCAGACAGCCAGGAUGUUGGCUUAGAAGCAGCCAUCAUUUAAAGAAAGCGUAAUAGCUCACUGGUCGAGUCGGCCUGCGCGGAAGAUGUAACGGGGCUAAACCAUGCACCGAAGCUGCGGCAGCGAACGUAUCACCCAAGACAACUUUACGGAGUUGACGAUUGACGGAGCGAAGCGACGUCAAAGCGUUCAUUAAAGUCGAGUUGGCUUAGGGAUACGUUCGUUGGGUAGGGGAGCGUUCUGUAAGCCUGUGAAGGUGUGUCGUGAGGCAUGCUGGAGGUAUCAGAAGUGCGAAUGCUGACAUAAGUAACGAUAAAGCGGGUGAAAAGCCCGCUCGCCGGAAGACCAAGGGUUCCUGUCCAACGUUAAUCGGGGCAGGGUGAGUCGACCCCUAAGGCGAGGCCGAAAGGCGUAGUCGAUGGGAAACGGGUUAAUAUUCCCGUACUUGGUGUUACUGCGAAGGGGGGACGGAGAAGGCUAUGUUGGCCGGGCGACGGUUGUCCCGGUUUAAGCGUGUAGGUGUGUGUUCCAGGUAAAUCCGGUU
Molecule: ribosomal RNA, 1021 nt
Filed under: Salmonella enterica subsp. enterica serovar Typhimurium
Lineage: Bacteria; Pseudomonadati; Pseudomonadota; Gammaproteobacteria; Enterobacterales; Enterobacteriaceae
Description: partial 23S ribosomal RNA
Rfam family: Bacterial large subunit ribosomal RNA
Source: RNAcentral